CAUCGCGAUGCUCUCUUCAUAGGAACAUCGUGAUGAGGAUACUAUCAAAGCGUCAGCUCAAGGAGUUGGUUCUGUACUCACCGCAGCACAUCGCACGAUUGGAAAAGGCCGGGCAAUUCCCCACGCGGGUACAACUUGGCCCUUCCCGAGUGGGGUGGGUUGAAGCUGAAGUGCUCGACUGACUCCAGAAACGGUUGGAUCGUCGAGAAGCGCCUAGCCGACACUCCUUCUGAAGGAGCGCUUGAAGGCUGACGCCGA
RNAcentral lists this non-coding RNA (258 nucleotides) under Sphingobium fontiphilum. RNAcentral describes it as "Sphingobium sp. Chen 16-4 Ruegeria trans44 sRNA". It matches the Rfam family "Ruegeria trans44 sRNA". Rfam says of the family: Trans-encoded. Higher sRNA expression during C-limited growth. The record is from Rfam by way of RNAcentral. Lineage: Bacteria; Pseudomonadati; Pseudomonadota; Alphaproteobacteria; Sphingomonadales; Sphingobiaceae.